Molecule: long non-coding RNA, 716 nt
Organism: Camelus dromedarius (Arabian camel)
Lineage: Eukaryota; Metazoa; Chordata; Mammalia; Artiodactyla; Camelidae
Exons: 3
Source: RefSeq, a predicted model, not a curated record
AGAAAGAAAGAGGAAAGAAGAUCAAAAGACGCCUUUAAUGACUCUGCAGACAUUUCUUAAACGAGCGAUUGGGAAGAAGAGAGCCGUAAAAGAAAAACCAAAACAAGGAAUGCAGGCACUUCAUUUUAAGCUCUGGCCACUGGGCGAGCAUCCACCACGCUGCCCUUUUCCUGCUCAUGAAAAAUGUACAUCACCCCCAGGGGUCCAGGCUGCCUGAGGGACCUAAGAGCCUUAAAGUACCAACAGCCCACAUUUCUUGAAGGCAGACUUUCAGUUUACAGGCAACUAAUCCUCACUGCAUCGGCUCCAACAGACGGGCACAAUCAAUUCAGGGAGAGCAAGCAACGCCAGGUCUGCUCAAUCUUCUCUCAACGAGCAGCAGAGGAGAGGCGGUGGGGGGGGGGGAGGAGACGGAAAGAAAGACAGAGAAUGCAGACAUCCCUGCUCCCAAGAUAGCUUAGCAGAGGCAAAGACGAAAAGACAAGUUGAAAUACAUAUCCUGGCAGAUGGAAGCGUUUGCUGUCGGAGGGAGAGGCUGAAACACCACGAAGACACAAAGCGCACCCAGCCUCCGGGCGCUGAGGAGUGUCUAAGGGAGCCAGGCAGACGGAAAAGGGUGUAUGUCGAAACAAAGGAACUGGGCACAGCACCUCUAGGGAGGAAAGAGGUCUGGAUUUGCUGAGGUCUCCACCGUCUAUGAUCUAUAGCAUAGCGUG